ACUCCUACGGGAGGCAGCAGUGGGGAAUAUUGCACAAUGGGGGAAACCCUGAUGCAGCCAUGCCGCGUGUGUGAAGAAGGCCUUCGGGUUGUAAAAGCACUUUCAGUAGGGAGGAAGGUAGUGUAGUUAACACCUGCAUUAUUUGACGUUACCUACAGAAGAAAGCACCGGCUGAACUCCGUGCCAGCAGCCGCGGUAAUACGGAGGGUGCGAGCGUUAAUCGGAAUUACUGGGCGUAAAGCGCAUGCAGGCGGCCUGUUAAGUCAGAUGUGAAAGCCCGGGGCUUAACCUCGGAAUUGCAUUUGAAACUGGCAGGCUAGAGUCUUGUAGAGGGGGUAGAA
RNAcentral lists this ribosomal RNA (341 nucleotides) under uncultured bacterium. RNAcentral's name for it is "bacterial SSU rRNA". It matches the Rfam family "Bacterial small subunit ribosomal RNA", at positions 335 to 665 of the family's 1533-position model. The record is from RNAcentral.